RNAcentral lists this ribosomal RNA (484 nucleotides) under uncultured bacterium. RNAcentral's name for it is "partial 16S ribosomal RNA". It matches the Rfam family "Bacterial small subunit ribosomal RNA", at positions 30 to 507 of the family's 1533-position model. The record is from RNAcentral.
AUUGAACGCUGGCGGCAGGCCUAACACAUGCAAGUCGAGCGGAUGAAGGGAGCUUGCUCCUGGAUUCAGCGGCGGACGGGUGAGUAAUGCCUAGGAAUCUGCCUGGUAGUGGGGGAUAACGUCCGGAAACGGGCGCUAAUACCGCAUACGUCCUGAGGGAGAAAGUGGGGGAUCUUCGGACCUCACGCUAUCAGAUGAGCCUAGGUCGGAUUAGCUAGUUGGUGGGGUAAAGGCCUACCAAGGCGACGAUCCGUAACUGGUCUGAGAGGAUGAUCAGUCACACUGGAACUGAGACACGGUCCAGACUCCUACGGGAGGCAGCAGUGGGGAAUAUUGGACAAUGGGCGAAAGCCUGAUCCAGCCAUGACGCGUGUGUGAAGAAGGUCUUCGGAUUGUAAAGCGCUUUAAGUUGGGAGGAAGGGCAGUAAGUUAAUACCUUGCUGUUUUGACGUUACCAACAGAAUAAGCACCGGCUAACUUCGUG